UACAGAGGUCCCGAGCGUUGUUCGGAUUCACUGGGCGUAAAGGGUGCGUAGGUGGCUUUGCAAGUCUGAUGUGAAAUCCCCGGGCUUAACCUGGGAACUGCGCUUGUUACUGGCAGGCUUGAGUGUGGCAGAGGGGGGUGGAAUUCCACGUGUAGCAGUGAAAUGCGUAGAGAUGUGGAGGAACACCGAUGGCGAAGGCAGCCCCCUGGGCUAACACUGACGCUCAUGCACGAAAGCGUGGGGAGCAAACAGG
This 253-nucleotide ribosomal RNA is filed under the name uncultured bacterium. RNAcentral describes it as "partial 16S ribosomal RNA". It matches the Rfam family "Bacterial small subunit ribosomal RNA", at positions 524 to 776 of the family's 1533-position model. The record is from RNAcentral.